This 141-nucleotide ribosomal RNA is filed under the name uncultured bacterium. RNAcentral's name for it is "partial 16S rRNA". It matches the Rfam family "Bacterial small subunit ribosomal RNA", at positions 355 to 511 of the family's 1533-position model. The record is from RNAcentral.
UGGGGAAUUUUCCGCAAUGGGCGAAAGCCUGACGGAGCAAUGCCGCGUGGAGGAGGAAGGCCUACGGGUCGUCAACUUCUUUUCUCGGAGAAGAAACAAUGACGGUAUCUGAGGAAUAAGCAUCGGCUAACUCUGUGCUAG